UACGUAGGGGGCAUGCGUUAUCCGGAAUUACUGGGUGUAAAGGGAGCGUAGACGGUAAUGUAAGUCUGGAGUGAAAGGCGGGGGCCCAACCCCCGGACUGCUCUGGAAACUAUGUUACUAGAGUGCAGGAGGGGUAAGCGGAAUUCCUAGUGUAGCGGUGAAAUGCGUAGAUAUUAGGAGGAACACCAGUGGCGAAGGCGGCUUACUGGACUGUAACUGACGUUGAGGCUCGAAAGCGUGGGGAGCAAACAGG
RNAcentral lists this ribosomal RNA (253 nucleotides) under uncultured bacterium. Its description in RNAcentral is "partial 16S ribosomal RNA". It matches the Rfam family "Bacterial small subunit ribosomal RNA", at positions 524 to 776 of the family's 1533-position model. The record is from RNAcentral.